RNAcentral lists this non-coding RNA (929 nucleotides) under Lepidosiren paradoxa (South American lungfish). RNAcentral describes it as "12S ribosomal RNA". It matches the Rfam family "Bacterial small subunit ribosomal RNA". The record is from RNAcentral. Lineage: Eukaryota; Metazoa; Chordata; Ceratodontiformes; Lepidosirenidae.
AAAGGUUUGGUCCUAGCCUUACUGUCAAUUUUUACUGAUCUUAUACAUGCAAGUCUCCGCACACCUGUGAAAAUGCUCUUAAGAACCAAGCGGUUUUAAGAAGCCGGCAUCAGACACAAAAUUAGUCCAAGACGCCUUGCAAAGCCACACCCCAAGGGAAACAGCAGUAAUUAAUCUUAGGCAAUAAGUGAAAACUUGACCUAGUUACAGUUAUGAAAAUCGGCCAAUCUCGUGCCAGCCGCCGCGGUUAUACGAGAGAUUUUAUUGAUAAAUUCGGCGUAUAGGGUGAUUAGGAUAUACUUAAUUUUAAAAUUUAACUUUAGCCAAGCUGUUAUACGCUUCCGCUAAUAAGAAAAUCAUUAUUUUAAUUAAAGAGUUAUUCUGACCUCACGAAAGCCAAGAAACAAACUAGGAUUAGAUACCCUACUAUGCUUGGCUAUAAACUAUAGUGAAUUUUUACAUCAUUCACUCGCCAGAGGACUACUAGCACAAGCUAAAAACUCAAAGGACUUGGCGGUGCCUCAAACCCACCUAGAGGAGCCUGUCCUAAAACCGAUAAUCCACGUUUUACCUAACCACUUUUUGCCAAUUCAGCCUAUAUACCGCCGUCGCCAGCCAACCCCGUGAGAGAAAUAAACUAGGCAAAAUUAACUUAGUUAAAUACGUCAGGUCGAGGUGUAGCAUAUGAAGUGGAAGAGAUGGGCUACAUUUUCUUGUAGAAUAUACGAAUAGCUAAAUGAAAUAAAGCUGGAAGGUGGAUUUAGCAGUAAAGAAAAAUCAUAAUAUUUUCCUGAAAUUGGCCAUGAGGCGCGCACACACCGCCCGUCACUCUCCUCAACAGCCCAAAAACAUUAUUUAAUAUAAAAUAGCUACAAAGAGGAGGCAAGUCGUAACAUGGUAAGUGUACCGGAAGGUGCGCUUGGAGUACA